UGCUGAUGUGCAAAUUGAAAUUUUUAUACAUUUCUUACAUAAUUUAUGGGAAUUUGGAAGUUAGAAUGAGCAUAUAUAUUUAGUUAAUGCAAUUGAGGAUUGUGAUGAAAGAAUGUUAUAAUUAAUUAAUAGAAUUUCUUUCAGGUGAUUUAAAAUAGAUAGUGUUAGAAUUUUAUUUGAAUAUAAUAGAUGUGAAAUGAGUUUGUUUAAUUUCUUGUAAAUAAA
RNAcentral lists this unclassified non-coding RNA (225 nucleotides) under Hevea brasiliensis (rubber tree). Lineage: Eukaryota; Viridiplantae; Streptophyta; Magnoliopsida; Malpighiales; Euphorbiaceae. The record is from RNAcentral.